GGGCGAUGUGAUGUGGAUGAAAGGGCCCUUAACUUUUUUUGCUAAAUUCACCAAGGGCUCUAUGAUGUUCCAAAAGCAAUCUUUGCCUCAGCCCUGGCGUUUCUCUUCUUGGCUGUCCAGAAGGAGGUUGUGCUUCUCCCUAGUGGAGGAACCUCUAACAUACCUGCAGUCAUCCAGUCCCAAAGCUCUAGGCAGCAAUGGACCACCAUUCCAUGGGUCCUCUACUGUAACACAGAUCUCCUGGAUGUGCAAGUGACAUUCUCCAUCUUCUUUUCACCUGGUGUGUGAAUAAUGGGGUGUGAAGAAAGAAAGCAAAAUAUUCUCAUGUCUGUCCUUAACAUCAUAGGAACCUGAUCUUUCUACUGGAAGAAGGAGUCUCUCCACAUAUCCACCACAGCUGGGAUUGUGCUGGGUCAUAUCUGAAGCUAGCACACAUCUAAGUCUCAUCCAAGGCCCACACCUGGUAAGAAAAAUCCACAUCGUGACACGGAAGAGAUGGAGGAAGAAGAGAAAACAAAAGCUUCUUGUGGCUCCAGGCGUUCUUUGAUUCUCCUUGGCUUGUGGCUGCAUCACUGAUUUCCGCUUCCGUGUUCAUGUGGCUCUUCUUCCGCGUGUCUUCUCCUUUCUCUUACAAGGACACUUCGUUGCAUUCAGGGCCCACUCAGGUAAUUCAGGAUGAUCUCAUGCCAAGACCCCUAAUCUAAUUACAUCUACAAAGAUCCCUUAUCCAAGUAAGGUCACCUUCACGGGUUCUGGGAAUUAGGAUUUAGGCAUAUCUUUUGGGGAGCCAUCAUUCAAUGCACGACAUAAUCUAAACAGACUCCAGUUUUCUCAGCUUUAACAGAGACAAUCAAUCAAAUAAGUUUUUGAUUUAAUUUAAAAAUAAAAACAGUAUUUCUGUCUCUCAGAAUAAUUCUGCAGCCCAGUUCUUAGAGCAAAUUACAGUUAGAUUUAAAAGAAUGCUUUUCUUCUCAUUUUAAAGAUUUCUCUUUAAAAAUUGUUAAAAUGACCUAACAUUUUAAAAGACGGAAAAGUAAUUGUAAUAUCAAAAACUUAACACAACUACAUAUUUAUACAAAUGCCUUUAUAAUCUUUGUGUAUAUGUGUGUAUAUAUACAUGUGAAUGUAUAAAUACAUACUUGUAAUCAUGAUGUACUUAACAACUGCAGAUUGUGUUUAAUCUUAGCAUAUUAAAUAAGUUUUUUCAAUGUUUUAACGUAUGUUUUAAUUUACCACUUUUUAAUUUUUUAAUCUUAAUGAUUUAAGAAAGUAUUAGUCAUUGUAGAAAAUACAAAUAAACUAAAAGAAAAAUGAAUCACCUGAAAUUCUUUUAAAAAAGAAAGCCAAUCUGGAGACACAUACAUCUGUUUUGUUUUGUUUUGUUUUGUUUUUUGAGACGGAGUCUCGCUCUGUGGCCAGCCGGGAGUGCAGUGGAGCGAUCUCAGCUAACUGCAGGCUCCCUCUCCUGGGUUCAAGUGAUUCUCUUGCUUCAGCCUCUUGAGUAGCUGGUAUUACAGGCAUGCGGCCCCACACCCAGAUAAUUUUUGUAUUUUUAGUAGAGACGGGGUUUCACCAUGUUGGCCAGGAUGGUCUCAAUCUCCUGACCUUGUGAUCCACCUGCCUCGGCCUCCCAAAGUACUGGGAUUACAGGCGUGAGCCACUGCACCCAGCCUCUGUAUUUUUUAAUUUAAUUAUAUCUUCAUGUUUGUAUGAAUCUAUAUCUGUAGCUGUAUCUACAUUUAUUUAGUUUUGGCUAUAACCCCAUUUCAGGAACUAGUUGACUAAAAAAUAAACUUCUAUUGUUUUUGAAUUAUUACAUAUUUUGUGGUCUUUUAAAAAGUACUGCAACCUCCUCUAUGAAUGAAUACACUUGUUUUUAUAAGUUUUGAAACAUAUUGUUGAAUGACAUUUCUCAAAGCCUAAGCACAGAUGAUAAUCCCUACUGCUUCUUAACCAAGAUUAUAAUGACAAUCUUAGAAUCAAAUGUUAUCAAUUUUAAUAUUUAUUAGAGAAUGUCUGACAACACUUUCUAGAGAUUCUCUUAUUUUAUCAUGUUGCCAAUUUUCCUAAAAAGUGUUAAGUGAGAUUGUUAAGGCUACAAUGGAUGCAAAUAAUGUUAAUACUAUAAUGAAUGCAAAAUUAUUAAUUUAACCAUUCUUCCAUCAUUAAACCUUGUAUAUAUUUCUAAUUUUUUAUUGUUAUGUUUAUACAUAUUGAUUUCUCUGCAGCUAAAUUAUUCAGUUACAUAAAUUUCCCAGAAAUGUGGGUAUUCAGGGAAAUUGUGGAAAUAAAUCUAGUCUUCAUACAGAUUGCAGUUUGCCUUUUAUAAGGGUUAUAUGAAGACAGUUUCAUCAGAGUAUAAGAGUAAACCGGUUUUACCUCAAGUUCAUUAUCAUUGUUGUAUUUUGAUAUUAACAUCAGUAUUUUUAAUAUAAAAGUAAUAGAAUUCCACCAUAAGAUUAGUUUAAUUGCAUUGCUUCUGUCUCAGAAUUGAAGUUUAUAUAAGUUCCUAAAUAGCUUUAAACUCAUUUAAUGUAAUUUAUUUUUGUCUACUUAUUUUUGGG
Molecule: long non-coding RNA, 2564 nt
Filed under: Homo sapiens (human)
Lineage: Eukaryota; Metazoa; Chordata; Mammalia; Primates; Hominidae
Description: HSALNT0125343
Source: RNAcentral